AUUGAACGCUGGCGGCAUGCUUUACACAUGCCAGUCGAACGGCAGCGCGGGCUUCGGCCUGGCGGCGAGUGGCGAACGGGUGAGUAAUACAUCGGAACGUGCCCAGUAGUGGGGGAUAGCUCGGCGAAAGCCGGAUUAAUACCGCAUACGACCUGAGGGUGAAAGCGGGGGAUCUUCGGACCUCGCGCUAUUGGAGCGGCCGAUGGCAGAUUAGCUAGUUGGUGGGGUAAAGGCCUACCAAGGCGACGAUCUGUAGCUGGUCUGAGAGGACGACCAGCCACACUGGGACUGAGACACGGCCCAGACUCCUACGGGAGGCAGCAGUGGGGAAUUUUGGACAAUGGGCGAAAGCCUGAUCCAGCAAUGCCGCGUGUGUGAUGAAGGCCUUCGGGUUGUAAAGCACUUUUGGCGGGAACGAAAAGGACUGUGCCAAUACCACGGUUCGAUGACGGUACCCGAAGAAUAAGCACCGGCUAACUACGUG
RNAcentral lists this ribosomal RNA (484 nucleotides) under uncultured bacterium. RNAcentral's name for it is "partial 16S ribosomal RNA". It matches the Rfam family "Bacterial small subunit ribosomal RNA", at positions 29 to 507 of the family's 1533-position model. The record is from RNAcentral.